This 253-nucleotide ribosomal RNA is filed under the name uncultured bacterium. RNAcentral describes it as "partial 16S ribosomal RNA". It matches the Rfam family "Bacterial small subunit ribosomal RNA", at positions 524 to 776 of the family's 1533-position model. The record is from RNAcentral.
UACAGAGGUGGCAAGCGUUGUUCGGAAUUACUGGGCGUAAAGGGCGCGUAGGCGGCCAUCUAAGUCAGACGUGAAAUCCCCCGGCUUAACCUGGGAACUGCGUCUGAUACUGGGAGACUUGAGUUCGGGAGAGGUGAGUGGAACUGCGAGUGUAGAGGUGAAAUUCGUAGAUAUUCGCAAGAACACCAGUGGCGAAGGCGGCUCACUGGCCCGAUACUGACGCUGAGGUGCGAAAGCGUGGGGAGCAAACAGG